This 468-nucleotide ribosomal RNA is filed under the name uncultured bacterium. Its description in RNAcentral is "partial 16S ribosomal RNA". It matches the Rfam family "Bacterial small subunit ribosomal RNA", at positions 28 to 507 of the family's 1533-position model. The record is from RNAcentral.
GAUGAACGCUGGCGGCGUGCUUAACACAUGCAAGUCGAACGGAAAGGCCAGUGCUUGCACUGGUACUCGAGUGGCGAACGGGUGAGUAACACGUGGGUGAUCUGCCCUGCACUUCGGGAUAAGCCUGGGAAACUGGGUCUAAUACCGGAUAGGACAAUGGUUUGGAUGCCGUUGUGGAAAGUUUUUUCGGUGUGGGAUGAGCUCGCGGCCUAUCAGCUUGUUGGUGGGGUAAUGGCCUACCAAGGCGUCGACGGGUAGCCGGCCUGAGAGGGUGUACGGCCACAUUGGGACUGAGAUACGGCCCAGACUCCUACGGGAGGCAGCAGUGGGGAAUAUUGCACAAUGGGCGCAAGCCUGAUGCAGCGACGCCGCGUGGGGGGUGACGGCCUUCGGGUUGUAAACUCCUUUCGCUAGGGACGAAGCGUAUUUGUGACGGUACCUGGAGAAGAAGCACCGGCUAACUACGUG